GCGGUAUAGUCCAGUGGUAAGGUGGUAUGGUGGUAUGGUCCGGUGGUAAGGUGGUAUGGUCCGGUAAGGUGGUAUGGUCCAGUGGUAAGAUGGUAUGGUCUGGUGGUAAGGUGGUAUGGUCCGGUAAGGUGGUAUGGUCCGGUGGUAAGGUGGUAUGUUCCGGUGGUAUGGUGAUAUGGUCCGGUGGUAAGGUGGUAUGGUCCGGUGGUAAGGUGGUAUGGUGGUAUGGUCCGGUGGUAUGGUCCGGUGGUAAGGUGGUAUGGUCCGGUGGUAAGGUGGUAUGUGAGGUGAACCAGCCGUGGAGAAUGCACAUCGAAUUGGACCAAAACCA
Long non-coding RNA from Oncorhynchus tshawytscha (Chinook salmon), 331 nucleotides. Lineage: Eukaryota; Metazoa; Chordata; Actinopteri; Salmoniformes; Salmonidae. The record is from Ensembl.